UAGGCCACAGACUGGUAACAGCAGGCUACGUCUGCACACUGUGACCGAGGGGAUAAAUACACAAACAGAGAGAUUCACCCGAGGACCAGAGAUACAAAAACAACAACCUGAGAGCAAAGGAGAUUAAUCAAACCUGUGUGUGGAGCUUUUGUGAAUACUGAAGACCUGAUCCAGCUAUCAAACCUCUUCGCCCCUAUUGAGACGGACCUACCAGCCACGGGAGUCAGCACGGCCGCCCAGUAGCACCCUUCCCCACAGCCACGAUCCUUCAGCAAGUCACUUCCCUAUCGGAUUUCAGCAUGACCACCAUCGUUGUGGGCAGCUCGAUGGUUGAAGCACAUCCCUAACACCCAGACAGAUGUCAAGAACUUGGGAACCUCUCAGCCACCAGGAACAUCAUCUUGUUCUUGGAGUUUAUUCACAAGGUUUGUCAUAUGAUUUCCAGGCACUUGGUGGAGAUGAAUACAACAAUAAUCCAUGGCAGGACAUUUCCCUGCACCCAGAUGGAGCCCUGCUACCAGCAGGAACAUGGAGCACGCCAUGUCACUAAGUCAUGCCUUUUUCACAAAGGUGCUACAGAGACAUAAUAUUCAAAUGACCUCCAGAGCCCCCAGACGAACUACCUGAGAUCUCUUCAGGGCACAGAGAAGUGAGUCUGCUGGGUCAUGGAACUCUAGAGCAGCACAUCAAAACACCUGCCACCCUGUUGUCAGCUAUCAGCAGACAGUUCCCUGAGGAAGGAUGCAACUAUCAAGGCUUUAAAAUUGUCAAAUGUGGGGGAUGAUCACCAAAUGCAAUAAAGUUUGGUAGAACCUA
Molecule: long non-coding RNA, 816 nt
Organism: Salmo salar (Atlantic salmon)
Lineage: Eukaryota; Metazoa; Chordata; Actinopteri; Salmoniformes; Salmonidae
Source: RefSeq, a predicted model, not a curated record